UCCUCUUUUCACAACUUUCAUUCCCUAAUCUCCACAGUUUCGGUUUGUCGCUCGAGCAGCCUCUCUAUCUGAGAGAGCCGAGCUUUGUCUUCCUCCAUUCUCAGAAUUCAAAAACUGAUAUUAUUCUGCUUCAUCCGUGCUGAUUGCGGAAUCCAAAGGCAUUAUUUAUGAAAAGCACCUCUUGUUCUGCAAAACCUUGUUGCAACUUCAGCUAGCUUGGCCUUGUAUGGGAGAGAUUUGUAGGACCUAGCAAUUGUAGUUUUGAAUGAAGGCUUUUCCUAUGGAGGAUGGAAGUGUCUACCAUGAGAGACAGAGAUUGCAGUUCUGUCUGUUGCAUGCGCUCAAUAAUCUU
Molecule: long non-coding RNA, 352 nt
Organism: Phalaenopsis equestris
Lineage: Eukaryota; Viridiplantae; Streptophyta; Magnoliopsida; Asparagales; Orchidaceae
Exons: 3
Source: RefSeq, a predicted model, not a curated record